This 46-nucleotide ribosomal RNA is filed under the name Fusarium oxysporum. RNAcentral describes it as "partial 18S ribosomal RNA". It matches the Rfam family "Eukaryotic small subunit ribosomal RNA", at positions 1786 to 1831 of the family's 1831-position model. Lineage: Eukaryota; Fungi; Ascomycota; Sordariomycetes; Hypocreales; Nectriaceae. The record is from RNAcentral.
AAGUCGUAACAAGGUCUCCGUUGGUGAACCACCGGAGGGAUCAUUA